AGAGUUUGAUCCUGGCUCAGGACGAACGCUGGCGGCGUGCCUAACACAUGCAAGUCGAACGGAGUCAAGAAGCUUGCUUUUUGACUUAGUGGCGGACGGGUGAGUAACGCGUGAGUAACCUGCCUCUGAGAGGGGAAUAACGUUCUGAAAAGAACGCUAAUACCGCAUAACGUAUCGAAGCCGCAUGACUUUGAUACCAAAGAUUUUAUCGCUCGGAGAUGGACUCGCGUCCGAUUAGUUAGUUGGUGAGGUAACGGCUCACCAAGACCGCGAUCGGUAGCCGGACUGAGAGGUUGAUCGGCCACAUUGGGACUGAGACACGGCCCAGACUCCUACGGGAGGCAGCAGUGGGGGAUAUUGCGCAAUGGGGGCAACCCUGACGCAGCAACGCCGCGUGAAGGAUGAAGGUUUUCGGAUUGUAAACUUCUUUUAUCAGGGACGAAACUUGACGGUACCUGAUGAAUAAGCUCCGGCUAACUACGUGCCAGCAGCCGCGGUAAUACGUAGGGAGCAAGCGUUGUCCGGAUUUACUGGGUGUAAAGGGUGCGUAGGCGGCCGAGUAAGUCAGAUGUGAAAUCUAUGGGCUCAACCCAUAAACUGCAUUUGAAACUACCCGGCUUGAGUGAAGUAGAGGCAGGCGGAAUUCCCUGUGUACCGGUGAAAUGCGUANAGAUAGGGAGGAACACCAGUGGCGAAGGCGGCCUGCCGGGCUUUAACUGACGCUGAGGCACGANAGCGUGGGUAGCAGACAGGAUUAGAUACACUGGUAGUGCACGCUGUAAAAGACGAUUAAUAGGUGUGGGGGGAAUGACCCAUUCCGAGCCGGAGUUAACACAAUAAGUAAUCCACAUGGGGAGUACGGCGGCAAGGUGAGACUCAAAGGAAUUGACGGGGGCCCGCACAAGCAGUGGAGUAUGUGGUAUUAUUCGAAGCAACGCGAAGAACGUUACCAGUUCUAGACAUCCGAAUAACGAAGCAGAGAUACAUUAGGUGCCGUUCGGGGAUAAUGGAGACAGCCGGUGCAUGAUAUUCGUCAGCUCGGCUUGUGAGAGGAGUGGGGAAGUCCUGUCAGGAGCGAUACCCUUGAUAUUAGUUGCUAUGCGAGAGCAGUUUAAUAUGAUGGCGAUCGACUACAUGGAGGAAGGUGGGGUCGAAGUCGAAUCAAUAUGCGCCUUAUGACAUGGGUGACACACGUAUUACAAUGGCCAUAUACAGAGGGAAGCAAUAGCAGUGAUGUGGAGCAAACACUUACAUAUGAUAUCAGCUCAAAUUACAGGUUACUAACCGCUUGCACGAAGUAGGAAUAGAGUAGUGAAUCGCGAAUCAGCAUGACUCGGAGAAUAUGGUCACGGGCCUAGUACACGUCGCGAGUCAGGGCGAAUUUGUUGAACAAUGUCAGGGCGGUCCAUUUAGUGAGGGUUAUUGUGGUUAGAGUCUGGUGGGA
This 1444-nucleotide ribosomal RNA is filed under the name uncultured bacterium. RNAcentral's name for it is "partial 16S ribosomal RNA". It matches the Rfam family "Bacterial small subunit ribosomal RNA". The record is from RNAcentral.